RNAcentral lists this ribosomal RNA (362 nucleotides) under uncultured eukaryote. Its description in RNAcentral is "partial 18S ribosomal RNA". It matches the Rfam family "Eukaryotic small subunit ribosomal RNA", at positions 592 to 976 of the family's 1831-position model. The record is from RNAcentral.
CAAUAGCAUAUAUUAACGUUGUUGCAGUUGAAAAGCUCGUAGUUGAACUUUUGGUAGGGGCGACCUGGCCUUGGGCGCAUGCCCUUGUUUGCCGUGUGUCGUAUCUGGCCAUCCUUUUCUUCUUUUUGGAAGGAAUCUUUUACUGUGAGUAAACUGGAGUGCUCAAAACAAGACGUUUGUUUGGUACAUUAAAGCAUGGAAUAAUAAGAUAGGACCUGGUUACUAUUUUGUUGGUUUGCAUAGCUAGGUAAUGAUUAACAGGGACAGUUGGGGGUAUUCGUAUUUAAUUGUCAGAGGUGAAAUUCUUGGAUUUAUGAAAGACGAACGACUGCGAAAGCAUUUACCAAGGAUGUUUUCAUUAA